GUUCGUCUGUUACCUUGUGCGCGAACAGAGCUUUUUGCGCCUCGAUGAAAGGUCCUUUUUGCGUCACUGUGUCGUUUUCUUUCGACGAACGCGAGCAGUUCACUGCGUAUGUGCUUGGGGCUGUAGAUCUUGUUUAAGGCCUCCACUGGCGGGUGAGUCAUGACGCCGCCCGGAAGUGCGACAGCGCCCCUGCUGAUGCUCCUGAUGAUCACGGCGCAGAGAGUGACCUCGCAGGAGCGCGGGCGUCCAAGCAGUCCAGGCGGGAUUCCUCAGGACCAC
Molecule: long non-coding RNA, 279 nt
Organism: Penaeus indicus
Lineage: Eukaryota; Metazoa; Arthropoda; Malacostraca; Decapoda; Penaeidae
Exons: 3
Source: RefSeq, a predicted model, not a curated record